Molecule: ribosomal RNA, 51 nt
Filed under: Cliffortia hirta
Lineage: Eukaryota; Viridiplantae; Streptophyta; Magnoliopsida; Rosales; Rosaceae
Source: RNAcentral
GAGAGUAGUACAUCGAUGGGUGACCUCUUGGGAAGGCCUUGUGUUGCAACC